CCCUUAGAUGUUCGGGGCCGCACGCGCGCUACACUGAAGUAAUCAACGUGUGUCUUCCCUGGCCCGAAAGGGUCGGGUAACCCGUUGAACCUCCUUCGUGCUAGGGAUUGGGGCUUGUAAUUCUUCCCCAUGAACGAGGAAUUCCCAGUAAGCGCGAGUCAUAAGCUCGCGUUGAUUACGUCCCUGCCCUUUGUACACACCGCCCGUCGCUGCCCGGAACUGAGCCGUUUCGAGAAGACUGAGGAUUGCUGACUUGAGGCCUUCACGGGCUUCUAGUCGGUGAAAAUCAAUUUAAUCGCAGCGGCUUGAACCGGGCAAAAGUCGUAACA
This 329-nucleotide ribosomal RNA is filed under the name uncultured eukaryote. Its description in RNAcentral is "partial 18S ribosomal RNA". It matches the Rfam family "Eukaryotic small subunit ribosomal RNA", at positions 1470 to 1796 of the family's 1831-position model. The record is from RNAcentral.